Pseudophryne corroboree (corroboree frog) is the source of this 83-nucleotide small nucleolar RNA. RefSeq annotates it as small nucleolar RNA SNORD121A. Lineage: Eukaryota; Metazoa; Chordata; Amphibia; Anura; Myobatrachidae. The transcript has a single exon. The record is from RefSeq and is a predicted model, not a curated record.
AUUCAGUGCACAGUGAUGUAUUUAUUUCCAAGCACAUAUCUGAAUUCCGUGUGUGGAGAGUAGCAGUGCUGAGUGCUCUGAAG